RNAcentral lists this ribosomal RNA (480 nucleotides) under uncultured bacterium. RNAcentral's name for it is "bacterial SSU rRNA". It matches the Rfam family "Bacterial small subunit ribosomal RNA", at positions 44 to 511 of the family's 1533-position model. The record is from RNAcentral.
AGGCCUAACACAUGCAAGUCGAGCGGCAGCGGGAAAGUAGCUUGCUACUUUUGCCGGCGAGCGGCGGACGGGUGAGUAAUGCCUGGGGAUCUGCCCAGUCGAGGGGGAUAACUACUGGAAACGGUAGCUAAUACCGCAUACGCCCUACGGGGGAAAGCAGGGGACCUUCGGGCCUUGCGCGAUUGGAUGAACCCAGGUGGGAUUAGCUAGUUGGUGAGGUAAUGGCUCACCAAGGCGACGAUCCCUAGCUGGUCUGAGAGGAUGAUCAGCCACACUGGAACUGAGACACGGUCCAGACUCCUACGGGAGGCAGCAGUGGGGAAUAUUGCACAAUGGGGGAAACCCUGAUGCAGCCAUGCCGCGUGUGUGAAGAAGGCCUUCGGGUUGUAAAGCACUUUCAGCGAGGAGGAAAGGUUGGUAGCUAAUAACUGCCAGCUGUGACGUUACUCGCAGAAGAAGCACCGGCUAACUCCGUGCCAG